GGGGAUAUAGCUCAGUGGUAGAGCGCUCGCUUUGCAUGGUCUAAAGUGCCUGCGAGAAGUCCAGGUUUCGAUCACCUGUAUCUCCA
Pseudomassariella vexata is the source of this 86-nucleotide transfer RNA. It matches the Rfam family "tRNA". Rfam says of the family: Transfer RNA (tRNA) molecules are approximately 80 nucleotides in length. Lineage: Eukaryota; Fungi; Ascomycota; Sordariomycetes; Amphisphaeriales; Pseudomassariaceae. The record is from Rfam.